This 345-nucleotide unclassified non-coding RNA is filed under the name soil metagenome. RNAcentral describes it as "partial contains 5.8S ribosomal RNA, internal transcribed spacer 2, and large subunit ribosomal RNA". The stretch from base 1 to 120 matches the Rfam family "5.8S ribosomal RNA", at positions 35 to 154 of the family's 154-position model. The record is from RNAcentral.
GAUGAAGAACGUAGCGAAAUGCGAUAAAUAAUGUGAAUUGCAGAAUUCAGUGAAUCAUCGAGUCUUUGAACGCACAUUGCGCCCCCUGGUAUUCCGGGGGGCAUGCCUGUCCGAGCGCCAUUGCUGCCCUCAAGCACGGCUUGUGUGUUGGGCCUCCGUCCUCCUCCCGGGGGACGGGCCCGAAAGGCAGCGGCGGCACCGCGUCCGGUCCUCGAGCGUAUGGGGCUUCGUCACCCGCUCUUGUAGGCCCGGCCGGCGCUUGCCGACACAUCAAUCUUUUUUCCAGGUUGACCUCGGAUCAGGUAGGGAUACCCGCUGAACUUAAGCAUAUCAAUAAGCGGAGGA